This 296-nucleotide signal recognition particle RNA is filed under the name Saimiri boliviensis boliviensis (Bolivian squirrel monkey). RNAcentral's name for it is "Metazoan signal recognition particle RNA (ENSSBOG00000013312.1)". It matches the Rfam family "Metazoan signal recognition particle RNA". From Rfam's summary of the family: The signal recognition particle (SRP) is a universally conserved ribonucleoprotein. It is involved in the co-translational targeting of proteins to membranes. The eukaryotic SRP consists of a 300-nucleotide 7S RNA and six proteins: SRPs 72, 68, 54, 19, 14, and 9. Lineage: Eukaryota; Metazoa; Chordata; Mammalia; Primates; Cebidae. The record is from RNAcentral.
GCCGGCGCGGUGGUGUGUGCCUGUAGUCCCAGCUACUCGGGAGGCUGAGGCUGGAGGAUUGCUUGAACCCAGGAGUUCUGGGCUGUAGUGCACUAUGCUGCUCAGUGUCCACACUAAGUUCAGCAUCAAUAUGGUGACCUCCUGGGAGCGGAGGACCACAGGUUGCUUAAGGAGGGGUGAACCGGCCCAGGUUGGAAACGGAGCAGGUCAAAACUCCCAUGCUGAUCAGUAGUGGGAUCACAUCUGUGAAUAGCCACUGCAUUCCAGCCUGGGCAACAUAGUGAGACCCUGUCUCU